AGUGAACGCUGGCGGUAGGCCUAACACAUGCAAGUCGAACGGCAGCACAGUAAGAGCUUGCUCUUACGGGUGGCGAGUGGCGGACGGGUGAGGAAUACAUCGGAAUCUACUUUUUCGUGGGGGAUAACGUAGGGAAACUUACGCUAAUACCGCAUACGACCUACGGGUGAAAGCAGGGGAUCUUCGGACCUUGCGCGAUUGAAUGAGCCGAUGUCGGAUUAGCUAGUUGGCGGGGUAAAGGCCCACCAAGGCGACGAUCCGUAGCUGGUCUGAGAGGAUGAUCAGCCACACUGGAACUGAGACGCGGUCCAGACUCCCACGGGAGGCAGCAGUGGGGAAUAUUGGACAAUGGGCGCAAGCCUGAUCCAGCCAUACCGCGUGGGUGAAGAAGGCCUUCGGGUUGUAAAGCCCUUUUGUUGGGAAAGAAAAGCAGCAGGUUAAUACCCCGCUGUUCUGACGGUACCCAAAGAAUAAGCACCGGCUAACUUCGUG
Molecule: ribosomal RNA, 492 nt
Filed under: uncultured bacterium
Lineage: Bacteria
Description: partial 16S ribosomal RNA
Rfam family: Bacterial small subunit ribosomal RNA
Source: RNAcentral